RNAcentral lists this ribosomal RNA (252 nucleotides) under uncultured bacterium. RNAcentral describes it as "partial 16S ribosomal RNA". It matches the Rfam family "Bacterial small subunit ribosomal RNA", at positions 524 to 776 of the family's 1533-position model. The record is from RNAcentral.
UACGUAGGGGGCGAGCGUUGUCCGGAAUUAUUGGGCGUAAAGGGUUCGCAGGCGGUUUUUUAAGUCAGAUGUGAAAGGCUACGGCUCAACCGUGGUAAGCAUUUGAAACUGAAAAACUUGAGUUAAGGAGAGGAAAGUGGGAUUCCUAGUGUAGCGGUGAAAUGCGUAGAUAUUAGGAGGAAUACCAGUGGCGAAGGCGGCUUUCUGGACUUAUACUGACGCUGAGGAACGAAAGCGUGGGGAGCAAACAGG